RNAcentral lists this ribosomal RNA (555 nucleotides) under uncultured bacterium. RNAcentral's name for it is "bacterial SSU rRNA". It matches the Rfam family "Bacterial small subunit ribosomal RNA", at positions 355 to 896 of the family's 1533-position model. The record is from RNAcentral.
UAGGGAAUCUUCGGCAAUGGACGGAAGUCUGACCGAGCAACGCCGCGUGAGUGAAGAAGGUUUUCGGAUCGUAAAGCUCUGUUGUAAGAGAAGAACGAGUGUGAGAGUGGAAAGUUCACACUGUGACGGUAUCUUACCAGAAAGGGACGGCUAACUACGUGCCAGCAGCCGCGGUAAUACGUAGGUCCCGAGCGUUGUCCGGAUUUAUUGGGCGUAAAGCGAGCGCAGGCGGUUAGAUAAGUCUGAAGUUAAAGGCUGUGGCUUAACCAUAGUAGGCUUUGGAAACUGUUUAACUUGAGUGCAAGAGGGGAGAGUGGAAUUCCAUGUGUAGCGGUGAAAUGCGUAGAUAUAUGGAGGAACACCGGUGGCGAAAGCGGCUCUCUGGCUUGUAACUGACGCUGAGGCUCGAAAGCGUGGGGAGCAAACAGGAUUAGAUACCCUGGUAGANNAAGUCCGCGCUGUAAACGAUGAGUGCUAGGGGGUANACCCUUUCCGGGUUUAGUGCCGUAGCUCACGCAUUAAGCACUCCACCUGGGGAGUACGACCGCAAGGUUG